This 473-nucleotide ribosomal RNA is filed under the name Cynoscion jamaicensis. Its description in RNAcentral is "partial 16S ribosomal RNA". It matches the Rfam family "Bacterial large subunit ribosomal RNA", at positions 1924 to 2551 of the family's 2925-position model. The record is from RNAcentral. Lineage: Eukaryota; Metazoa; Chordata; Actinopteri; Sciaenidae.
UCAACGGCCGCGGUAUUUUGACCGUGCAAAGGUAGCGCAAUCACUUGUCUUUUAAAUGGAGACCCGUAUGAAUGGCAAGACGAGGGCUUAGCUGUCUCCUUUUUCAAGUCAAUGAAAUUGAUCUUCCCGUGCAGAAGCGGGAAUUCUAACAUAAGACGAGAAGACCCUAUGGAGCUUCAGACACCAAGACAGACCACGUCAAAGCCUCCUAAUUAAAGGGCCGAACUAAAUGAACCCUGUCCUACUGUCUUUGGUUGGGGCGACCACGGGGAAACACAAAACCCCCGCGUGGAAUGGGAGCACCCUCCUACAACUAAGAGCUUCCGCUCUAAUAAACAGAAUUUCUGACCAACAAGAUCCGGCAACGCCGAUCAACGAACCGAGUUACCCUAGGGAUAACAGCGCAAUCCUCUUUUAGAGCCCAUAUCGACAAGAGGGUUUACGACCUCGAUGUUGGAUCAGGACAUCCUAAU